UAACGACGUCCAGUUUCUUCUUUCUUUCAUAGAAAAAAAAACAAACUCAUCAGAUUCUAUAUUCGAAGCUGACAAUUUCGCUAACCGAUAUCAAAAAAAACAUCGAUCUGGGUUCUAAUAUUUUUUCGAUCUCUACUGCCGAAGAAGAUUGGGAUUCUAGAAAUGGAAGAGGUCAAGGUAUACCGCGGAUCAUUGAAAAUGGAUGGUUGCCGCAGCUCCAAUUUAUAAUUUCAUCUCGAUGAUCUGCUUCCACAAAGAUAAUAAGUCUGUUUGUUAUUUCAAACAUAUCCUGUUUCCUUUUUUAUAAAAUUUUAUAUUAACGAUUACUUCUACUAUGUGUACGUCACAAACCCAAUAAAUUGCUGAUAUGUUGUCUACACACAGGAAGCUCUUUUCACAUAAGCAAUGGAAAAAGGUCAGUAUUUGAAUAGAUCUUAGUAGUUAUAGAUACCUCGUCAGUUGUAAGUAGCUCUGAUAUGGUUUUCCGGGAAAACUGAACAUAAUAAUCAUCAAUCAAUGAUACAAUCUGGUUGUUUGGUACAUUCUCUCGGAAGGUAAGAGCCAGACCAUCGUUUGGAAGUCUGAAUGAAAAGGGAAAAUUGUUAAAGUAGUUUAAUCAUAAUAAGGGGAAAUUUUUAAAACUUUAAAUUCUCACGUUUGAAUAAAAUCAGCAACUUCAGGAUAGGGAGGGUUAAUAAAAACUUGAGUAGCACUGUAAGAAUUAGACAAACUCACAACACCUGAAAAACACAUGCUUUUUAACAUUAGUAGUAUCUUAUUAUAUUACCAUAUAUAUAUUAAAACGACUCAUUCCCUUAUACUUAUACCAUUAUAAACAAUUGAUUAAAAACAGAGCAUACCUUUAAAGUUUUUGACUUUCGCAAAUCUGAUCACACAUAUCACUGUUGGUCCAUCAACUUCCUAGCAAGCAGCAAAAACUUGUUGAGCAAGUGCACCCCAUAGUGUGCAAGGUAGCCGUACAUCCUUGUAUAAGAAGUGAGUUACUAAAUAAAUAAAAGGUUUUUUUAAACGAAGCCCUACCUCAAUCAAUCCGUUUUUGAAACACAACUUACUUUUCAUCUCUCAACUCGAAAUCGAGCUUAUGAUUCGGCUUGUUAUUAGUUUCCUUUUCCUCCAAUUCUCCUAUGUUAACAACUUGGCCGAUUGCAUCUAUGAAAUAAAAUCAUAUUUUCAUAAACAGUACAACAAACUUAAGUUUAACUGAAGUCAUACUUGUUAAUAAAAAUUAAAACUUACCAACUAACAUACAUGGAUUAAUCUCUUCAUUCAAAAUUGGCUCAAACUUAGCAAGACUCAAGUAGUUGGAUGCAAAUACAUCUUCACAACGCGAGACAACCGUGCUAGUUUGGAAACCAAUCUUGUACAAAUGAUUGGUUGGGCGAAACUGACCUGUUGCAUGAGUAAGGCCGAAGGUUUCUACAAACCUCCACUCACCAACUCGAAUCUGAGGAGCAAACCGUGGAACUAAAUCCUUCUUCACGCUUGCAUGUAUUUUAAUGCCAUAAGAUAUAUAUGAAACGUAGCAGGUGUAUUGGCGCCAUGAAUGCAAGAUCUUGACUUGGAUCCUCCAUGAAGAUUUGUAAGGACGCAAUUCUCGGAGAAGAGCAAAUGAAGUUGUCAUUGAAUAGACGAAGAAGACUUUGUUGGUAAGAUGUUUGCGUUUUUGCUGUGGUAAGAUGUGAGGUGAGUUCCUCAUAAUCUUCCAUUAUUUAUAUUGAUGUGUAAAGUUUACUGUUAAAGGAAGAAUUUAAUGUAAUUCUUGGUGACCAAGGAGAAGAUCGGUGUCAAAUUUAAUGGAGGAAUUUUUGGAAUAGUUGAUUAUGUUGAUGUAAUAAGGAAGGCUUUCAAAGUUUUCUUGUUUAUUAUGUCCAUCGAAUAUUUUAUA
Molecule: non-coding RNA, 1906 nt
Organism: Camelina sativa (false flax)
Lineage: Eukaryota; Viridiplantae; Streptophyta; Magnoliopsida; Brassicales; Brassicaceae
Source: RefSeq, a predicted model, not a curated record